This 76-nucleotide transfer RNA is filed under the name Micromonospora rosaria. RNAcentral's name for it is "tRNA-Lys". It matches the Rfam family "tRNA". Rfam says of the family: Transfer RNA (tRNA) molecules are approximately 80 nucleotides in length. The record is from RNAcentral. Lineage: Bacteria; Bacillati; Actinomycetota; Actinomycetes; Micromonosporales; Micromonosporaceae.
GCGCCGCUAGCUCAACUGGCAGAGCAGCGGACUCUUAAUCCGCGGGUUCGGGGUUCGAGUCCCUGGCGGCGCACUA